This 61-nucleotide non-coding RNA is filed under the name Emiliania huxleyi. RNAcentral describes it as "Eukaryotic small subunit ribosomal RNA". It matches the Rfam family "Eukaryotic small subunit ribosomal RNA", at positions 1771 to 1831 of the family's 1831-position model. Lineage: Eukaryota; Haptophyta; Isochrysidales; Noelaerhabdaceae. The record is from Rfam by way of RNAcentral.
GGUUUGCGUCCCUCAAAGUCGUAACAAGGUUUCCGUAGGUGAACCUGCGGAAGGAUCAUUA